This 2259-nucleotide ribosomal RNA is filed under the name Triticum aestivum (bread wheat). Its description in RNAcentral is "partial small subunit ribosomal RNA". Lineage: Eukaryota; Viridiplantae; Streptophyta; Magnoliopsida; Poales; Poaceae. The record is from RNAcentral.
AUGGAGAUGGACGCGACGGAGAGGCUGCGGUGGCGCUUCUCGGACGGCGGCCUCACCGAUCUGCUCGACGCCCGCAGCCUCCACGGCUCCCCCGACAUUGGAAAGAGAAUGCAGUUCCAUUCUUCUCUAGUACAAAGGCUUGCUUUAGAAAAGGAGAUUGAGGGUCACGUAGGUUGCGUGAAUGCUAUUGCAUGGAACUCAAGUGGCUCACUUCUGAUAUCAGGAUCAGAUGACACUAGAGUCAACAUCUGGAAUUAUGCUAAUCAAGAGCUGUUGCAUGAAAUUGAUACUGGACAUUCAGCAAAUGUAUUUUGCACAAAAUUUGUACCGGAAACAUGUGAUGAAGUAGUAGUUUCAGGAGCAGGAGAUGCUGAGGUUCGUGUUUUCAAUUUGUCUCGUUUAAGUGGCACAAGGCCUAGGGAGAUUUCCAUGGAGCCAGCUGCAGUUUACCAAUGUCACUCAAGGAGGGUCAAGAAACUAGCUGUCGAAGGUGGCAACCCUAAUGUAGUGUGGAGUGCAAGUGAGGAUGGUACUGUAAGACAGCAUGAUUUUAGGGAAUGCAGUUCCUGUCCUCGUGCAGGAUUGGUUAAUCAGGAAUGCCGUAACGUGCUUCUAGAUCUACGAUGUGGAGGAAAGAAGUCUUUAGCUGAUCCUCCCAGACAACCGCUGUCGUUUAAGUCUUGUGAUAUAAGCUCAGUUCGUCCCCAUCAGCUCCUUGUUGGUGGGAGUGAUGCGUUUGCCCGGCUGUACGAUAGGAGAAUGCUUCCACCAUUGAGCUCAUGUCAAACAAGAAGGAAGCCACCGCCUUGUAUAAAAAUGUUCUGUCCAUUGCACCUUGCUGAGAAUAGGAAGUCAAAUUUGCACCUUACCCAUGUUGCGUUCAGCCCGAAUGGGAAUGAGGUUCUUUUGAGUUACAGUGGUGAACAUGUAUAUCUAUUUGAUGUCGACCCAGACAAUACGAGUCCAGUGAGAUACACAGCAGAUGAUGUACGUGAUCAGUUAUGUUUACUGCCUUUUCACAAGGAACCAAGAAAACAAAAGUCAAAACGGGAUAAGUUUCCAGCUAAGAGAAAUUUGUGUAGGGUAGAUAUGUUGAAGAAACUUAUGCAAGUCGUGAUAAAAUCUCUGGAGACUGGCACAAACCUAAUGCAUGGCAUUGAAGCAUGCUGUGAAAUACUUGAGGCCCUGGAAUCUGAUAUUGAUGAUAGCACGAGACAUGAUUGUUUGUGUACCCGUGCAGGAUUGUACCUAAAGCGGAGGUGGAAAAAUGAUGUUUACAUGGCUAUUCGGGAUUGCAACGAAGCAAGGAGUAUUGACUUUGCAUCGUUCCAGGCACACUUGUUCAUGGCUGAUGCACUGUUACAGUUAGGAAGACUGAAGGAAGCAUGUGAAUAUGCAGAAGCUGCACAUAGUCUUGUUCCACCAAAUUCGGUGUCUGCGGAACAGGUGGAAAAUAUAAAGAAGCGACUUGCUGCUGCUGAACUUGAGAAAAAUAAAAAAGAUCAACAAGGAAAUACUAACACUGAUGCGCGGCAUGGACGGUUACGGUCAUUGAGUGAUCUACUGUUCAGAUCAGAUGUUAGUGGGUCAUCAUCACAGGAGGGCCGAGAAGAUUCAGAUUACGAUGAUGAGAUGGAGUUAGACUUUGAUACAUCAGUAUCGGGUGAUGAAAGCCGUGAUAGUGAUCCAGGUGCUGUUCGAGGUAGCUUACGUCUAAAAUUGCACCGAAGAGAGGACAAAACUAAUGAGCAGACUGUUGGGAAUGGAUCAGCUGAGUCCACUUGUAAUGGCGAUUCUGCCUAUGAGCCGGAUGUUGCCAUUGAUAUGAAACAAAGAUAUGUUGGGCACUGCAACGUGGGGACAGAUAUAAAGCAAGCUAGCUUUCUUGGUGAACAAGGGGAAUUUAUUGCCAGCGGAAGUGAUGAUGGUAGAUGGUUCAUAUGGGAGAAAAGAACAGGAAGGCUUGUUAAAAUGCUUGCAGGGGAUGGAGCUGUUGUGAACUGUAUACAGUCUCAUCCCUAUGAUUGUGCUGUUGCGACGAGUGGAAUUGACAAUACAAUAAAGUUAUGGACACCGGACGCAGAAGGUACUUCUAUGGUUGAUGGACCAGAAAUUGAUGUGUUAAGUGCCAUAGAGAACAAUCAGAAGAAGUUAUGCCGCAACCGUGAAACUUUGUUGCCCUUUGAGUUUUUGGAACGAUUUGGGGCGCAUGAAUUUGCUGAAGGAAGCUUGCAUCCUUUAGAGUGUGCGCAGACUUGA